Molecule: non-coding RNA, 94 nt
Filed under: unclassified sequences
Description: Rhodo-rpoB RNA
Rfam family: Rhodo-rpoB RNA
Source: RNAcentral
AGGUCGGGCGAGUGCUUUGGGACGACAUUCAAGAAUAGGCCGAACCACAACCCGUUCUCAGAUGUGCGCAUCGCCGGUCCCCGACGGCAAUGCG